AAUUUGAACUUCCUCUCAUCUUCAGGAAGCACCUUUAGGUAAACUCUGUCAGUCCAGUCAAGCCUUUGAUUUUCUGAAUAUAUUAUAUCAUUGCCAUAUCCUUCAAUAUUGUUUGGUUCCCUUGCCCAUUUUUGCUUUUCUUCCUUUGGAAGAUGAAAGAAUUGCUUUGAAACUUCUCUCACCUUGUCCAAAAAUGAGCUUUUCAGCCCAUGGUUUAUUGCCUGAAUCUCAUGAAAUAAUUGACAAUAUCAUUACCAAGCAUUAAGCAAUAAUAAAUUAAGUAAUUAAAAAAGAUGAAGGGAGACCUGAAAGCAGCCCCAUGAAUGGAGAGCAUGAUGGAGUUUAGCAAGCUCUUGUAGUGCAGUAGAUGGAGAUGAGAGGCGAUGAAGGUCGAUCACUGGAAUAUUCUCAUCCUGUGAUGGCACAAGAGCAUCUCGAAAUCCGGCACCACCUUCCUCGUAGAUAUAAGUUUUUGGCAGAUUUUCAGAAUUCAAAACCAAAUCUUGGACAGGUUUACCCACUAUCUCUACCUCACUUGAUUCUGCCAUCACUAAAAUGUUCUAAGGUCUACGGAGUGAAGUUGGGAAGAUUCAGUAAUCAGUACCACCUUCCCUAAAGAGGCAAGUUUUAUGUUUUCGGUUGUCGCUACAGUAUCAAUGACUGAUGGGGAUACGUCAGCAUCACCUGCAUCCUUUUUUGACCCUAGAAGACACGUGUUGUUUCUGUGAAAUAAAUCGGACAAAAAUAUAAAGAUUUUCUCUCCUUAAAUAAUUUUUUUUAACGGGAUAUCUCAUGACCGAAGGUAAAGAAUUAAUUAUUAAUAUCUUAAAAUAUUAAAAUUCAUCUAACAAUUGAUAUAUUAUAUUUUUUAUUUUUGACUAAAAAUAUGUGUUUAAGAGAUAAAAUUAUUUAUCAAUCAUCUCACACAUAAUUAAAUCAAUAUUUGUUUAACACCGUAUUUUGUUUUAAUAUACACCACAUACUAUAUCAUUUAUUUACAGCGCAAAUUUUAACAUGGUAUAUUUAUUAUAAGGGAAAAUGUGAAAUAAUGUCAAGUUUGGGUAUGUGCUUUAAUAUAUGAACUUCAAAAGUUUCAAUUUUAUGUAGAAUAAUCUCUCUGUCAAUAUUUGACAAUCAUGAGAUAUGGUUAACUUCCGUCAAAUUAUUUUAUUGUUUAGAUUUUAAUUGUUAAAAUAAAUCAUUUUAUUUCAGAAUCUCUUUUAAAAGACCCACAUCAAGUUAUCAACCAUUAAGGUUACUCUGUCGACGGCACUGAUGGUAUCGCCAUUAACAACUACAAAAAGAAGUUAAAUGCAAUUACCUUUCAACUUUUAUAAUUGUGCAGAUAACCUCCGUGUACUUUCCCGCUGCACACAAAUAAAACUCCAUAGUCCAUACAUCUCAAUCGUAAGUUAUCUAACACAUCAACACGAAUUCAAUUUAUACCAGCGGGCAUAACUUGGAAUUUGGUUAUACAAAUUUGAUUGCAUCUGCAGUCUCUUUUGUUUAACUAAAUUCCGAGAACCAUUCAGCUUCAUCAAAAGGUAAUUUUUGAAGCUUCGAUUGGUCUUUUUCCUUGCUGGUAAUACUGGAAAUAGAUUUCAACAUAAUUUUUCACCGGUCUGUAUAACACUGGCCUUGACUCGUUGACUAGCUUAUCCACUGGUUUAAUCUCUUUUUCUGAAUCCGGGACGCAGAACAUUGCUACUGUGAGCCUUUCCUUCGCUUUAUUUAUCACUACCCUAUGUACUGGGCUCCGGAAGAUUCCAUUGCUCAUUAUCUGUUAAUCACAUUCAAAGGUUCUGAGUCAAUCCUAUAUGUUGUCAUGGGCAAGCUUUUUGAGCUGUAUCAAUCAACUCUAUUGACAAGUUUGCUCUUUGCAUGAAUGUAAUGAUGAAAUUUUAAUGAUAAAUGACGCAGUUAUAAAAUGGUGGUUAGAAAAUAUGUGAUAGAGGAGGAGAUGGAAUGCAUGUUUGUUACUUCAAUUGAAUCAUAAAUGAAUGAGAGGCUUACAUCAUAAAGCCUAAACAAUUGAUAUUCAUCAAUUAAGAUCAAAAUUUAAUCCAAUAAUUAAACAAUGUUAACCCACAAAAUUCCAACUAGAACAAGAAACUUCAGUUAUUACCUCUAUUUGGUCACCGACAUUAAUCAGGAGAGCAUCAGGGAUUAUUGGAACUUUAAACCACUGAUCAUCUUUGAGGACUUGGAGGCCUUCUACUUCUUUGUCUUGCAACAGAAAAGUUAUGGUGGAUCCAUCUGCAUGUGGCUUCACGCCAAGAACAUGAUCAGGCAUUGGACAUGGAGGGUAGUAGUUGACCCUCACAAUCAUAUUAGAUCUCUCUCCACAUUCGUUUAGGAAGCAAUCCUCUUCCAAGUUCAGUGACUUUGCCAUGGCUUUAAGGAUUACUUCACUUAGCAGCCUUAGGCUUUCGGUAUACUGUAGGACAGUACUCCUUCAUCGAAACAUCCAUGAGAUUAAAAACAAUGUACAUGUGCAAAUGAUAGAGGAGCUAAUACUAGUGUCACUAGCCCAAGAGAAAAGGAGGAAAUUGCUUAUUUCUUUUCCAAAAAAUAAUGCUAUAUAUAAGUCUAAUUUAAUUAGAUAAGCUUCAUAACAAGUAAUUAAUUAUAAGAAAAGAAAAUUAAAAAAAAAUGAAAUGAAUAUAACUUAUCAUCAUAAGUUAAAAUAAAUUCAUGUAUUUUGGUUUUUGAAGAAGUUAGAUGAAAAUAAUUACAAAAAAAGUAAGGUUUGUGAAUUAAUUUUAACUUAUGAAAAAAGUUUUAAUUAUUUUUUAUUUUUAUUUCUUCUCUUAUAAGUAUUUAUUCAGAAAUUUAUUGUAACUGAGACAAUAUUCAUGCUUGUGUAUUUUAAUUUAAAAAUUUAAAACAGUAUAUAGUCUUUUGUUGGAGCUACUAGAGUACUUGCUACAGCUUCAUGCAAAAGAACAACAUUCAGUGUUAUUGACAAGAAUGUAUACCUGAAAUCAUUAGGGGUUUGGGGCCAAAAAUUGAACUUCCUCUCAUCUUCAGGCAACACCUUUAGGUAAACUCUGUCAGUCCAGUCAAGCCUUUGGUUUUUUGAAUAUAUUACAUCAUUGCCAUACCCUUCAAUAUUGUUUGGUUCCCUUUCCCUCGCACAUUUUUGCUUUUCUUCUUUUGGAAGUUGAAAGAAUUGCUUUGAAACUUCUCUCACCUUGUCCAGAAAUGAGCUUUUCAUUCCAUG
This 3223-nucleotide long non-coding RNA is filed under the name Glycine max (soybean). RNAcentral's name for it is "long non-coding RNA (GMAX_LNC000715)". Lineage: Eukaryota; Viridiplantae; Streptophyta; Magnoliopsida; Fabales; Fabaceae. The record is from RNAcentral.